Molecule: long non-coding RNA, 1760 nt
Organism: Osmia bicornis bicornis
Lineage: Eukaryota; Metazoa; Arthropoda; Insecta; Hymenoptera; Megachilidae
Exons: 3
Source: RefSeq, a predicted model, not a curated record
UUUCAUAAUAUAUUAUUAUAUUUAUUAUAUAAUUAUUGUAAGGGUUGUAGGGACACAAGGGAUGCUGGAAUGUAAGCAAUGCAGGAGUAUAAGGGUGGCAGAGAUGUGAAGGAUGCAGGGAUAUAAAGAAAGGAGAGAUGUAAGGAAUGCAGGGAUGUAAGGAAUGCAGGAGUAUAAGGGUGGUAGAGAUGUAAAGGAUGCAGGGAUAUAAAGGAUGCAGUGAUAUAAGGGGGCAAAGAUGUAAAGGAAUCGGGGAUGUAAAGGAUGCACACAGGUGUCGGCCUUUCCUCAGGCCGCGUAUAAGGACGUCUGAAGCCCCCAUUUCCGACGCCAGCGGCUCUGACAGCCCCACAGGUUUUGGUGGUGAAGCUGUCAUAUGUAGUGUUGAGAAAAGGGCUGGAUCAGACUCCCCUUGCUGCUCCUCUUGGUCCUGCAAUAUGACAAGACUGAGCAUCAGAUACUGACUGACAAUGAGUAAUGGGGUAUAGUCUUUGAUAUCGAAGCAAUCUGCUAUUACCAUCAACGUGCGUUAGACUGUUGCAGUGCGAAGUAUUUCACAUUUUUAUAUUAGGAUAGAACAGAUGGCGUUCGUUCUCAAGGGAGAAAUUCAAAAUACCUUGAAAACAAAGGCAUGUCUAAUUUUGUUGAAUUUGUAGUCACUGCCCUUGCGCUUGGAAAACUUGAUCGAAUUUUUGCCAAAUGGAAAUGGAAAUCGGUGAUCUAGCGGAUGUCUUAAAAUCGCGGUAAAAAUCUGAAAGAAAUGGUACUCUAUGGAAGAGAGGAGAAAAGUCCGGGCGGAAGAAAAGUCCGAGUUUAUCAAGUGAAAGCCGAUCAUUUUAGCUGUCAGUCUUUUUCCGACGUUCGAAGCGAGAGGAUCUGAGACUUCAUUCUUAUCAUCAUGACAUUUCCUUCAUUUAUCUCUGCAACUUGCAGCGAAUAACUUGCCGAUUCACUAGCCGUAAAAAGUGUGACCAUCUAUGAACAGACGGAAGAACUUGAUGGAAACCGCUUUCUCAAACGAUUACAAGAAAUUUUCUUAAUUAAAUAGUUUAUUGCGUUUUUUAUUAAAUAAUAGCAGAUUAGGUAAUAAUUUAAUAUCAGCGAUCUAAUACCGAAUUGCCGCGCUACCUAUUUAUGAUAAAUCUUCCGUCAACCCCGGUCGAUAACUAGUUACCAUCACUGAGGAAAAUGGCGUCAGCAUACAGACGUCGUUACUCAUAAUUUAUUAAGCAGUAGUAGUAAUCUACUGCUUAAUAAAUCUUAUCAAACAUUAUAAAGGAAUGUAAUUUGAACUUUCCUCUUUCUGUUUCAAUCAUAAAUUAUUGUGAAUUAUUACAACAUACGAUAGAAUCAAUGAAAUACCAACGGGUGUUCAAUGCAGAGUGUGCAGCUACCACAAUAAUUGCUAAUAACUAAGUGAUUAUAAAUGAAAUCUGCGCAAACGUGGUAUUAGAAAACUCUGCAGACAUUAUUUUUCGAGAAUUAAUCGUGAAAGUUCAAGUUUCAUUGCUGAUAAAUGCGUAAAUGAUGAUUUACUGUUUAUUAUAUGCGUUUCUAAUUUCUGGCGAGCGGAGGUAUUAGGAGUACAUAACUAAAAUUGGUGGCACAAAUUGUGCCACUUUCUUGGUUAUCCUAUUAUCCUGCUACCAGGCGAGCAAUUUCAGCAAAUGUUAUCCUAAACGUUGACCGAUAGAAAAUGGAAGUCCCUUAUAAUGUAAUUAUUUUACGACGUUGUAAAAACAUAACAAUAAAAAAUCAAA